GAUAAAGUGGCCGAGAUCAGGCGGUAAAUUGUAAAUUUACAUACGAAAUCUAAUUUCCUUUAUCA
Molecule: transfer RNA, 65 nt
Filed under: Dicronocephalus adamsi
Lineage: Eukaryota; Metazoa; Arthropoda; Insecta; Coleoptera; Scarabaeidae
Description: tRNA-Tyr
Source: RNAcentral